GACGAACGCUGGCGGCGUGCUUAACACAUGCCAGUCGAACGGAAAGGCCCUGCUUUUGUGGGGUGCUCGAGUGGCGAACGGGUGAGUAACACGUGAGUAACCUGCCCUUGACUUUGGGAUAACUUCAGGAAACUGGGGCUAAUACCGGAUAGGAGCUCCUGCUGCAUGGUGGGGGUUGGAAAGUUUCGGCGGUUGGGGAUGGACUCGCGGCUUAUCAGCUUGUUGGUGGGGUAGUGGCUUACCAAGGCUUUGACGGGUAGCCGGCCUGGGAGGGUGACCGGCCACAAUGGGACUGAGAUAGGGACCAGACUCCUACGGGAGGCAGCAGUGGGGAAUAUUGCACAAUAGGCGGAAGCCUGAUGCAGCAACGCCGCGUGCGUGAUGACGGCCUUCGGGUUGUAAACCGCUUUCGCCUGUGACGAAGCGUGAGUGACGGUAAUGGGUAAAGAAGCACCGGCUAACUACGUG
RNAcentral lists this ribosomal RNA (468 nucleotides) under uncultured bacterium. Its description in RNAcentral is "partial 16S ribosomal RNA". It matches the Rfam family "Bacterial small subunit ribosomal RNA", at positions 28 to 507 of the family's 1533-position model. The record is from RNAcentral.